This 315-nucleotide ribosomal RNA is filed under the name uncultured soil bacterium. RNAcentral's name for it is "bacterial SSU rRNA". It matches the Rfam family "Bacterial small subunit ribosomal RNA", at positions 27 to 329 of the family's 1533-position model. The record is from RNAcentral.
GGAACGAACGCUGGCGGCGUGCCUAACACAUGCAAGUCGAGCGGUAACAGGUGUAGCAAUACAUGCUGACGAGCGGCGAGCGGGUGAGUAAUGCUUCGGAAUCUGCCCAUGUAGUGGGGAAUAACUAGCCGAAAGGUUAGCUAAUACCGCAUACGACCCCCCUUUUAAUCGAGAGGGAUGAAAGCAGGGGAUCGCAAGACCUUGCGCUAUUGGAUGAGCCGAAGUCGGAUUAGCUAGUUGGUAGGUAACGCUACAAGGCGACAAUCCGUAGCUGGUCUGGAGAGGACGACCAGCCACACUGGGACUGAGACACGG